RNAcentral lists this ribosomal RNA (429 nucleotides) under uncultured Pseudomonadota bacterium. RNAcentral describes it as "bacterial SSU rRNA". It matches the Rfam family "Bacterial small subunit ribosomal RNA", at positions 355 to 776 of the family's 1533-position model. Lineage: Bacteria; Pseudomonadati; Pseudomonadota. The record is from RNAcentral.
UGGGGAAUUUUGGACAAUGGACGAAAGUCUGAUCCAGCCAUGCCGCGUGCGGGAAGAAGGCCUUCGGGUUGUAAACCGCUUUUGUCAGGGAAGAAAUCCUUUGAGUUAAUACCUCGGGGGGAUGACGGUACCUGAAGAAUAAGCACCGGCUAACUACGUGCCAGCAGCCGCGGUAAUACGUAGGGUGCAAGCGUUAAUCGGAAUUACUGGGCGUAAAGCGUGCGCAGGCGGUUAUGCAAGACAGAUGUGAAAUCCCCGGGCUCAACCUGGGAACUGCAUUUGUGACUGCAUAGCUUGAGUGCGGCAGAGGGGGAUGGAAUUCCGCGUGUAGCAGUGAAAUGCGUAGAUAUGCGGAGGAACACCGAUGGCGAAGGCAAUCCCCUGGGCCUGCACUGACGCUCAUGCACGAAAGCGUGGGGAGCAAACAGG